UUUGUCUGUGCAGUGACAAUGUUCCUGUCCCCAAUGUGGCCACUGCCACCGUGAGGGGCAGUUGCAGCACGCGGUGCUGCCGGCAGACUGCUCGCCAGAGAGCAGAGCUGUUGGCAGCGGGGGCUGCACGUGUUACACCAGCCUGGUAGGUGUCAGAACAAGCCUGAGGCGAGCACUGAUGAUCUUUCACAUGCAGAAAAGCCUCUGUGGGCCAGAGUCCGGUGCUAAGGCCUGUCGGCACUGUCCGGUCCAUACAGCUCUUAUUUGCUGUGUACCACCUUUGUUUUGGAUUUAUUUCCAGCAGAGCAGCUAUUUGUUCAGGUGCUUGGGGAAAGGUUUCCCACGUGUCUCUGCAUAUCAUGGUGUCACCCACUGAGACUAUUUUGAUUUUAAAUUCUUCUUGGCAGGUUCACCUCUGCCUCUGUGCUAAGGCAGUGGCUUGCACAGAUGCCAGCUCACCAAGAUGCUGCCCUACAGCCUUUCAUUAGGUGUGAACUGUUUUAUAUUUUGGAAUAAUUUACAACCAUAUAUUUUGCUAAGAGGCUUCAGCUAUGCCCUUAUGUAGAAGGGGAAAGUGCCCUUAUUUAGGUUAAUGCAGAGCUCCCACCACAUUGCACGGACCGUGUGAUGCUGCAGAUGUGAGAGCUGGGAUCUAGCAGCCGCAGUCUGUGCUGCUGCAUGGAGACCUGGGAUUAAUGCUCGUGCUGUCGGUGCAAAGCACAGGCUGCCUGAUGUGGCUUCUCAGCUGUGGGCUGCCUGGUCCAGAGCCUGCCAUGGCGGGUGCUCAGGAAUGAGCCUUUUGAACCAGUCCGCUGGUUGCGGACUUGGCUGGCCCGGAGACAGCUGUGAAAUGAAGCCUGCUGAGGUUUGCAUUGCUUCCUCUUCACCCGAGAGGAACACAGUGCAUUUGCUUGCUAAGACUGCCCUCUCCCGAGGCAGCAGCCUGGAGGCAGCACUUAAAAACAUUAAACUGGGUUCAAAUCAUCUCCUGAUGAUCAGCGCUCUCAUUUUUCUCACUGCUUUUGUCUGAUAAUGGUUUGUUUUGUUUCAUAAUAGUUUCAUUUUGUCUGCAGCAAUAUUGACGUAAGCAUAGAAGCCACAAUAAGAAACAACAUCCUGUUUGAAUUAAAAAACAAAACAAAAACUCAACAAGGCACAGCUCGUUUCUGAUUACGUUCCCUAGAACCACAUGAGAGAGAGAAAAUGAGAGCUUUUCUCACUCAGCUCCUCCAGGUGUAGUCAGGGAGUGUGCAUUUUGUGAGGCUCUUUUACAAAGCCGCUCUGCUGAAGCAGAGCAGAACCACGUUUUUCUCUUCCUGGCCACGAGUGGAGAUGUCGGCUCUCCAGGGCUGCAGCAAAUGGCUCCCUGCACGAGCAGGGAGUGAACAGUAGCUUCAUUACCCCUUCAAGCCUUCUGAGCAGCGUGCACUAUCCUUCUGUGACCCAUCUCCGCAGGAGGAGAUCAGCUGCUCAGUUCUGCAGUGCUAACGAAUAAUGGCAUCUCUGAAACGAUGUGUGACAGCACGGGGGGAUUCUGCCAUCUCUGAAGGGAAAAGCAAUCCAGACCUGUUUUUUCCCUGACUUAUGCUUAGAUCUCUGCGCCUGGAAUGGAACAACUUUCUCUUGUGUUUCAGACAGCUAAAAUACUUUCAAGUUGCUUUUCCAUUGGAUAUAGGAGAUUGCUGUACCAUAUAAGUUCUGUAAUUGCAUUUGAGAAAGGGAAAAUUAUAUAUGUGCCCAAACCACCCAAAGUGCAUAAUUGCUCCAUUGAAAUACCUCUAGAGACAAUAUGAGGCCAGCAAUGGGAAGAGGAUUCCUCUUCCAUCUCUGCCAGCCAGCCCUGAGGUGAUGCUGGCAACGAAUGGCACAACUGAAACCACUGGGGAGAAAACAUUUACCAGUAUUCUCUUCCGAGUGGUCUCCGGGAGACCCAAGGCCAUCCCUUUCAUUCAUGAUACAGUGAGUACUGCGACUGCGUGGACUGCUUGGCUUUCCGUUGUGCGGCUCUUGCCACAGGAUUUUGGACCAGUGCAGAAAGCUGCUCCUGAGUACCUGCUUCUGCCUCCUGUUUUAUUGGACCAGCAGCAUUCCAAUGCUCAUUGCUGCUUCAUUAAAUUUGUGUUUUCAGGCACUAAAUUAUUUGCAUAAAAUCUCUGAUUUUCUGGAGUUGCAGCUUUGAACACCUGUGCAGCUGCUGCAGAGUUCAGGGAGUGUAUUGCAAAGGCAAAGCUAUCUAUUCUAAUUUAGGUUUCUAUAUAUUCCUCAAUUGCCUUGAAAGGGCCUGGAAGCAGCUGCUGAAAAGCCAUAGAAAACCUGAUUGAGGAAGAAAAACAGACUUGGUUGUUUAAUAAACACACAGACUCCUUCCAGGCCACUGAUAAGAACAAAAAGCACUGCAAGGGGAGGUUGGUUGGGUACCGGUGGGACAUCGUGGUGGUCCUGUUACCAGCAUGUCAUCGCUGAGGAAAGCUCCACGUGGCUGUAGGAAGCGGUGUCUCCCCACCCAGCCCCUCAGAGAGGAGGCAGACUGUGUGCAAAUCUUUAAUCUUGGUCUCUGAGACAACUUGGCAUUGACAGCUGACGUUUGGUUUUAUGUCAAACAGCUCACAGAGGCUCACACUGCAGAGAUGGCCCUCAACGAUGCCGCUGUAUCUGAGGUGAGCCCAGCUUAAAUCCAUGGGGCUCAUUUCCCUGCUGCAUCCCAAACCUCAUUGUUUAACCUACUGCCAAGCAGACCUCGAUUCCCCCAGCACCAGUUUCUCUGGGGCUGGCAUAGGGGACAAACCAGUGGCAAUGCCAUGUGAUGCCCAAACAGCUUCCACACCAGUUCCUGCUAGCAUGGCAGUGGUGUGCAAAACCUUCCAGCAGAGAUCCGCUUCCUACUUGACAACAAGGCAUAGGAUUUCAGCAAUAUAUUCUUUUGAUUUUCUUGUAAAGUCAUUUCUGUUUUUCAGAUCAAACUUCAAGAACCCUUGAGAGCUUUUUUUCUGGAAGUUAUAAUAAAUGAAAUCAAUUCUAAGUCCACAGGGAUGUUUUCUUCUGUGAUGUCUUGUUAGUCAAAUCCAAAGUAUAUAAGCCAAGAGUAGUGUGUGUGUUUUUUUUCCCCCCCUCCUUUCUGUUUGAUUUGUUUAUUUUUUUUUUUUUGUUUGUUUUUCCCUCUGGAGCAAUUUAAGAGUCUGUUCUUUCCUGAAUCAGUUGCAUAUUCUACAUGCGUUAAUUCAUAAAAGGCAAGCUGGGUCUUAGGACUCUUGUAUAUAAACAACCAUGAGCUUGGGUCUUAGACUACGCUGUUUAUAUGCUAAAGUAAUGUGUAUAUAUAUAUUGUACAAAGCUGUAGGUGUCUGGGGGACUGAACAGUAAAAUCCAAAAGUCCUAAUGCGUGUUUCUGCAUACACCUGACUUAGGUUUGUUUAUCUCCAGAUGCACGCACCAAAUCCAUCUGUUCCUUCACAUCAUAAUAAAAUAAUUAUACUAAAAAUCAAGCAAAGGCUGCAUGUUCUCACUGGAGAAGUUUUCCUGUAUUGUAAAUGAACUUAAUCUUUUGCAAAUACAAAAUAAAUUUGUUAAA
This is a long non-coding RNA of Cygnus olor (mute swan), 3568 nucleotides long. RefSeq lists it as uncharacterized. The transcript has 3 exons. The record is from RefSeq and is a predicted model, not a curated record. Lineage: Eukaryota; Metazoa; Chordata; Aves; Anseriformes; Anatidae.